CAAUGCGAUACCUAGUGCGAAUUGCAGAAUUCAGUGAAUCAUCGAGUCUUUGAACGCAAAUGGCGUUCUCGGGGUCUUCCCGAGAGCACGUCUGCCUGAGUGCCCGUUUCCUGUGGCCGCUGCAGUUGCCUGCAGUGGCGAGUUGAAGCGUCGCCCUGCCCAGUCGGGUGGGGCGUCCUUUGAAAGAGGGCAACUGCUGCAAGGUCCGCAUGGUGGGCUUGCGCACGCGACUGAGCCACUGUCGACGUGUCCUGCCCCCCCCCCCGGUCGGCGUGUCCUUGUGGAUUGAAGCGACGGAUGACGUGGCACCACCAAUGUGGGCCUCAGGUCAGAUGAGGCGACCCGCUGAAUUUAAGCAUAUUAAUAA
This 367-nucleotide ribosomal RNA is filed under the name Aplysina aerophoba. RNAcentral's name for it is "eukaryotic LSU rRNA". The stretch from base 1 to 105 matches the Rfam family "5.8S ribosomal RNA", at positions 51 to 154 of the family's 154-position model. The record is from RNAcentral. Lineage: Eukaryota; Metazoa; Porifera; Demospongiae; Verongiida; Aplysinidae.